GGUGGAAUGGUGAAAUAGGUAGACACAUCGGAUUUAAGUCCCGGUGCUUAUAAGAGCGUGAGGGUUCGAGUCCCUCUUCCACUA
RNAcentral lists this transfer RNA (84 nucleotides) under Caudoviricetes sp. Its description in RNAcentral is "tRNA-Leu". It matches the Rfam family "tRNA". From Rfam's summary of the family: Transfer RNA (tRNA) molecules are approximately 80 nucleotides in length. Their secondary structure includes four short double-helical elements and three loops (D, anti-codon, and T loops). The record is from RNAcentral. Lineage: Duplodnaviria; Heunggongvirae; Uroviricota; Caudoviricetes.